This 406-nucleotide ribosomal RNA is filed under the name uncultured bacterium. RNAcentral's name for it is "bacterial SSU rRNA". It matches the Rfam family "Bacterial small subunit ribosomal RNA", at positions 355 to 776 of the family's 1533-position model. The record is from RNAcentral.
UGGGGAAUAUUGGGCAAUGGGCGCAAGCCUGACCCAGCAACGCCGCGUGAAGGAAGAAGGCUUUCGGGUUGUAAACUUCUUUUCUGGAGGACGAAUCAAUGACGGUACUCCAGGAAUAAGCCACGGCUAACUACGUGCCAGCAGCCGCGGUAAUACGUAGGUGGCAAGCGUUAUCCGGAUUUAUUGGGUGUAAAGGGCGUGUAGGCGGGAAAGCAAGUCAGAUGUGAAAACUCAGGGCUCAACCCUGAGCCUGCAUUUGAAACUGUUUUUCUUGAGUGCUGGAGAGGCAAUCGGAAUUCCGUGUGUAGCGGUGAAAUGCGUAGAUAUACGGAGGAACACCAGUGGCGAAGGCGGAUUGCUGGACAGUAACUGACGCUGAGGCGCGAAAGCGUGGGGAGCAAACAGG